GGUAUAAUAAAUAUCGAUGGUGCAUUAUUCUAGUCGUACUAUUUAUUAUGAGGGUGGGGCUAAAAAUCCACUAAAGGGCAUACCGAUGAAGCAUCUUGUUUGUGCGCGAAAUGCCAGUUUUGUGUGUGAGUAGGAUGAAAGAAACCAGGGUAUGGUAUAAUGGCAUAUACAGGACUCCCUUGUUUCGCUGAGACUUAAAAAAUAUCUUUUGAGUGUAACCUAUGGUGAGUGCCAAGACACAAAAUACAUAGAGUAGCCUGUCUUGAGUGAGGGUAUUGGGAUUAUAAUAACAUAUGAAAUUACACUUGCAAAAAAGACUAGUAAUAAACAAUAGUAUGUUAAGGAAAACUUCUAGAAUGUUUGCUUAAAAAAGCAUAGGAAUCUGAGGAUUAAGGUACGGACUUAAGUGGCGAUCUAGUGCCUAAUGAAAUAUGUAGGUGUUCUUUUAAAUGGAAACAGCUAUGUAGUAAUGCAUAGUAAAGAAUAGAGAAAUUCAACUAGACCUAAACCGUAAAAUUUACUCUGGUUUUACCAUCUUGAAUAUGAUAAUA
Molecule: non-coding RNA, 551 nt
Organism: Clostridium sp. CAG:356
Lineage: Bacteria; Bacillati; Bacillota; Clostridia; Eubacteriales; Clostridiaceae
Source: Rfam